AGAGUUUGAUCCUGGCUCAGGAUGAACGCUAGCGGGAGGCUUAAUACAUGCAAGUCGAGGGGUAUAUAGCUUUCGGGUUAUAGAGACCGGCGCACGGGUGCGUAACGCGUAUGCAACCUGCCUUACACUGGGGGAUAGCUUUCGGAAACGGAAAUUAAUACCGCAUGUAAUAACUGAAUCGCAUGGUUUAGUUAUUAAAGAUUUAUUGGUGUAAGAUGGGCAUGCGUUAGAUUAGCUAGAUGGUAAGGUAACGGCUUACCAUGGCAACGAUCUAAAGCGGGUCUGAGAGGAUGAUCCGCCACACUGGUACUGAGACACGGACCAGACUCCUACGGGAGGCAGCAGUAGGGAAUAUUGGACAAUGGGCGAGAGCCUGAUCCAGCCAUCCCGCGUGCAGGAAGACGGCCCUACGGGUUGUAAACUGCUUUUAUACAAGAAGAAAAAGUGCCAUGCGUGGCAUACUGACGGUACUGUAUGAAUAAGCACCGGCUAACUCCGUGCCAGCAGCCGCGGUAAUACGGAGGGUGCAAGCGUUAUCCGGAUUCACUGGGUUUAAAGGGUACGUAGGCGGGCAUAUAAGUCAGUGGUGAAAUCCUGCGGCUCAACCGUAGCACUGCCAUUGAAACUGUAUGUCUUGAGUGUGAUUGAGGUAAGCGGAAUGUAGCAUGUAGCGGUGAAAUGCAUAGAUAUGCUACAGAACACCAAUAGCGAAGGCAGCUUACCAAGUCAUUACUGACGCUGAUGUACGAAAGCGUGGGUAGCGAACAGGAUUAGAUACCCUGGUAGUCCACGCCGUAAACGAUGAUUACUCGCUGUUCCGAGAGGAGUGGCCAAGGGAAACCGAUAAGUAAUCCACCUGGGGAGUACGUCCGCAAGGAUAAAACUCAAAGGAAUUGACGGGGGCCCGCACAAGCGGUGGAGCAUGUGGUUUAAUUCGAUGAUACGCGAGGAACCUUACCUGGGCUAGAAUGCCUUCGACAGCCCUUGAAAGGGGGUUUUCCUUCGGGACGAAGUGCAAGGUGCUGCAUGGUUGUCGUCAGCUCGUGCCGUGAGGUGUUGGGUUAAGUCCUGCAACGAGCGCAACCCCUACUAUUAGUUGCCAGCAGGUUAAGCUGGGCACUCUAGUGGAACUGCCUACGUAAGUAGUGAGGAAGGUGGGGAUGACGUCAAAUCAUCAUGGCCCUUACGCCCAGGGCUACACACGUGCUACAAUGGCCGGUACAGAGGGCAGCCAACCUGCGAAGGUGAGCCAAUCCUAAAAGCCGGUCUCAGUUCGGAUUGGAGUCUGCAACUCGACUCCAUGAAGGUGGAAUCGCUAGUAAUCGCGCAUCAGCCAUGGCGCGGUGAAUACGUUCCCGGGCCUUGUACACACCGCCCGUCAAGCCAUGGGAGCCGAAGGUACCUGAAGUCGAUAACCGCAAGGAGUCGCCCAAGGUAAAUUUGGUGACUAGGGCUAAGUCGUAACAGGGUA
RNAcentral lists this ribosomal RNA (1471 nucleotides) under metagenome. Its description in RNAcentral is "bacterial SSU rRNA". It matches the Rfam family "Bacterial small subunit ribosomal RNA". The record is from RNAcentral.